This 492-nucleotide ribosomal RNA is filed under the name uncultured bacterium. RNAcentral's name for it is "partial 16S ribosomal RNA". It matches the Rfam family "Bacterial small subunit ribosomal RNA", at positions 29 to 507 of the family's 1533-position model. The record is from RNAcentral.
AGUGAACGCUGGCGGUAGGCCUAACACAUGCAAGUCGAACGGCAGCACAGUAAGAGCUUGCUCUUACGGGUGGCGAGUGGCGGACGGGUGAGGAAUACAUCGGAAUCUACUUUUUCGUGGGGGAUAACGUAGGGAAACUUACGCUAAUACCGCAUACGACCUACGGGUGAAAGCAGGGGAUCUUCGGACCUUGCGCGAUUGAAUGAGCCGAUGUCGGAUUAGCUAGUUGGCGGGGUAAAGGCCCACCAAGGCGACGAUCCGUAGCUGGUCUGAGAGGAUGAUCAGCCACACUGGAACUGAGACACGGUCCAGACUCCUACGGGAGGCAGCAGUGGGGAAUAUUGGACAAUGGGCGCAAGCCUGAUCCAGCAAUACCGCGUGUGUGAAGAAGGCCUUCGGGUUGUAAAGCCCUUUUGUUGGGAAAGAAAAGCAGCAGGUUAAUACCCCGCUGUUCUGACGGUACCCAAAGAAUAAGCACCGGCUAACUUCGUG